UACGAAGGGGGCUAGCGUUGUUCGGAAUUACUGGGCGUAAAGCGUGCGCAGGCGGUUAUGUAAGACAGGUGUGAAAUCCCCGGGCUUAACCUGGGAACUGCAUUUGUGACUGCAUAGCUAGAGUACGGUAGAGGGGGAUGGAAUUCCGCGUGUAGCAGUGAAAUGCGUAGAUAUGCGGAGGAACACCGAUGGCGAAGGCAAUCCCCUGGACCUGUACUGACGCUCAUGCACGAAAGCGUGGGGAGCAAACAGG
Molecule: ribosomal RNA, 253 nt
Filed under: uncultured bacterium
Lineage: Bacteria
Description: partial 16S ribosomal RNA
Rfam family: Bacterial small subunit ribosomal RNA
Source: RNAcentral